CUUUCUAUGUGAAAGCCUUCGGCUCAACCGAAGAAGUGCAUUGGAAACUGGGAGACUUGAGUGCAGAAGAGGACAGUGGAACUCCAUGUGUAGCGGUGAAAUGCGUAGAUAUAUGGAAGAACACCAGUGGCGAAGGCGGCUGUCUGGUCUGCAACUGACGCUGAGGCUCGAAAGCAUGGGUAGCGAACAGGAUUAGAUACCCUGGUAGUCCAUGCCGUAAACGAUGAUUACUAAGUGUUGGAGGGUUUCCGCCCUUCAGUGCUGCAGCUAACGCAUUAAGUAAUCCGCCUGGGGAGUACGACCGCAAGGUUGAAACUCAAAAGAAUUGACGGGGGCCCGCACAAGCGGUGGAGCAUGUGGUUUAAUUCGAAGCUACGCGAAGAACCUUACCAGGUCUUGACAUCUUCUGACAGUCUAAGAGAUUAGAGGUUCCCUUCGGGGACAGAAUGACAGGUGGUGCAUGGUUGUCGUCAGCUCGUGUCGUGAGAUGUUGGGUUAAGUCCCGCAACGAGCGCAACCCUUAUUACUAGUUGCCAGCAUUAAGUUGGGCACUCUAGUGAGACUGCCGGUGACAAACCGGAGGAAGGUGGGGACGACGUCAAAUCAUCAUGCCCCUUAUCCCUUGG
Molecule: ribosomal RNA, 626 nt
Filed under: Pediococcus sp. YCO-13
Lineage: Bacteria; Bacillati; Bacillota; Bacilli; Lactobacillales; Lactobacillaceae
Description: bacterial SSU rRNA
Rfam family: Bacterial small subunit ribosomal RNA
Source: RNAcentral